Taeniopygia guttata (zebra finch) is the source of this 1191-nucleotide non-coding RNA. Lineage: Eukaryota; Metazoa; Chordata; Aves; Passeriformes; Estrildidae. The record is from RefSeq and is a predicted model, not a curated record.
AGGGUGAAAUAAUAUGAGAGGAAAAUGAGGGUGGAAUAAUCUGAGGGAAAAUGAGAGUGAAAUAAUCUGAGGGAAAAUGGGGAUUAACCAAUUUUGGGAGGGAAAAAUCUGAGAGGAAAAUGAGGGUGAAAUAAUCUGAGGGAAAAUGAGGAUUAAAUAAUCUGAGGGUGAAAUAAUCUGAGGGAAAAUGAGGAUUAAAUGAUCUGAGAGGGAAAAAUCGGAGAGGAAAAUGAGGGUGAAAUUAUCUGACAGGAAAUUGAGGGUGAAAUAAUCUAAAAGUGAAAUAAUCUGAGGGAAUAAUUACAAUUAAAUGAUCUGAGGGGGAAAUAAUCUUAAGGAAAAUGAGAUUGGAAUGAUCUGAGGGGAAAACGAGGAUGAAAUAACACGUGGAGGAAAAUGAGGGUAAAAUAAUCUGAAUUUCUUUCCUUUUUACCUCCAAUCUUCCAACAUUCCCAGCUGUAAAUAAACCUCAUUUUUCCUGAGGGUCUGGAGAUCAAAUCCAUAAUGAAAAUAAAAUAUUGCAGCUCUAUCAGGAGCUUUUAAUAACUGUAAUAAAAUGCAGUUAAAGUGCUGAUCUGCAUUGAUUUUUGCUCCUCUGGGAAAACAGUUCCCCGUGUUUUUAAAUAUAUCUCCAAAGUGAUAUAUUUAAAAUUAUUUUCCUUUCAGCUUCUAAAUAUAUCACUUAAAAGCUGCGAUUUGCAGGUGGUUUUAUGUCUGAAAAUGUGGUUUUUUUCCCUUUUUUUUUUAAUUUUUUAAAAUAUUUUUUAUUUUUUAAAAUAUAUUUUAUUUUUAAAUUUUUUUUUAAUAUUUUUUAUUUUUAUCCACCAGAAGCUGUUUAAUGAAUGCUCAAUCCUGCAGCUCCUCAGGUUUCUCCUGGAAUUUCAGAAAAAUAAAAAAUCUGCCCUGGAUUCAGGGGAAAUUACCCCAAAGCUGGGGUAAUUUUUAUUUUAAUGAGGAUGGUGGUAAUUAGGAACUUUUCACAUUUAAUUGCGUUCGUAUUUCUGUGGGUAAAUCAUUCCUGCAGAAUUGUGGGCUCAGAAAUUUUUAGGGUCGGGUUUAAAUCGGGUUUAAAUUGGGGUUAGAAUUGGAUCAUCUUUAAUUAUAUUAUUAUCAUUAUUAUUGGAUUAUUCUCUAUUAUAUUAAUAUCCUUAAAAUAAUGAUGGUGAAACGAUCUGAGGGUGAAAAUGAGGA